RNAcentral lists this transfer RNA (74 nucleotides) under Acidobacteriota bacterium. RNAcentral's name for it is "Acidobacteria bacterium tRNA-Ile". It matches the Rfam family "tRNA". From Rfam's summary of the family: Transfer RNA (tRNA) molecules are approximately 80 nucleotides in length. Lineage: Bacteria; Pseudomonadati; Acidobacteriota. The record is from RNAcentral.
GGGGCUAUAGCUCAGCCGGUUAGAGCGCAUCCCUGAUAAGGAUGAGGCCGUUGGUUCGAGUCCAACUAGCCCCA